RNAcentral lists this ribosomal RNA (276 nucleotides) under uncultured bacterium. Its description in RNAcentral is "partial 16S ribosomal RNA". It matches the Rfam family "Bacterial small subunit ribosomal RNA", at positions 30 to 309 of the family's 1533-position model. The record is from RNAcentral.
AUUGAACGCUGGCGGAAUGCUUAACACAUGCAAGUCGGAGCGGGGGUGUAGCAAUACACCUAGCGGCGGACGGGUGAGGAAUACAUAGGAAUCUGCCUCAGAGCGGGGGGACAGCCCGGGGAAACCCGGAUUAAUACCGCAUGAUGUCGCAAGACCAAAGUGGGGGACCGCAACGGCCCCACACUCUGAGAUGAGCCUAUGUCCGAUUAGCUAGUUGGCGGGGUAAUAGCCCACCAAGGCGACGAUCGGUAGCUGGUCUGAGAGGACGACUCAGCC